Molecule: long non-coding RNA, 2345 nt
Organism: Ictalurus punctatus (channel catfish)
Lineage: Eukaryota; Metazoa; Chordata; Actinopteri; Siluriformes; Ictaluridae
Source: Ensembl
CCCCCCCCCCCCGUUGCAGGCGUAUCAACCAAACAACUUGCGUUGAUGUUAGAUUUAAAUGAAAUGGAAACAUUGUGAACUGGGGGUGUGGUUUAUUUCAUUAACAAGCGGUCAAAAUCCGAGACAGAAAACAUAAAGCAUUAAAAAAUGAUUUUGGGUGACUUUUUUUUAAUACAAAGUUUACAAGCAUGACUAGGAAAUAUUUCUACUUUCAGCUCAUACAGGACAGCGCAGAGUGUUUGUUGUGAUUGUUGCAGCCAAAAAUGCUUAUUUUGUGGCGGCUUGUUUCUAAAUUUACGAUGCAGCUUGUGGAGGUUUUUGUGCUUUUUUUUUUAUUAUUAUUUUUUUUUUGCGGAAGACUACUUUGAAUUGCAAUCGCGCAGUGAUGUUUGUUGGUAAAGGAGCCCCUUUCAGCUGUUCUCGUGUUCGACACGCAUGAAUCGAAGAGGGCUUUGGCAGAAUGAGCGUUGCGAUGACGUCACAUGAUGCGUCUUGGCCCAAAUCUGUGGAAAAAUCUGCGGUAGUUUUGACAGAUUUGCACAUGUCUCCGAAUAUUACGCAGUUUGCUGGAUUUUGCGUUAAAUUCUGCGAUCGCAAGAUCCCAUAAUCCGUGAGGGACUGUAGGGGCUGAAGUACUUUGGUAUAAAAUCCUAAAACAUUGGUCAUCAACUGGCAGAGCAGGAGCCGGAUGCUGACCCAGCAUCCUAUUUCAGCGGAUCAGACCAUGUACUGUACACGAAAAAAAUACCAAUCAACACUUUAAAAAAAAAUAAUAAUAAUAAAAAUAAAAAAAAAAGUUUUUAAAAAAUGACCGCAGCGACUCUAAAUCUGUCUGUAACAGAUCCCCUAUAGAUGCCAAUCAUGUGUUUAUGCAAAUUAUUCAUCUGAAGGCAACCACUCAUAGCAGAGUCUAGCUGCAGGACAAAAUCUAGCUUAACAAUGAAAACAGAUUGUAUAAACACAAAUGGACAAAUAAGUAUGUGUCAAAUUCAAAACAGACACGUGCAGUCACGUUAUGUGUUUAUCUAAAAAAAAAAAUUAAGCAAGGAAUUUCAUGUAGCUGGACUUGUAGCUCCAAAACAACACAUUACGAGCUAGUGUUGGACAGACGAGCAAAAUGACACGACAGGAGUUUGUUAGCCUGUCAAUCAAAUAAGCCACACCCCUAGGUCAUUGUGAAAAGAGGAGAUGCAUCUUUUAAGGGGAGAACUUUCCUUUUGUUUAGCCUCAGAAAUGAUCACAAUAAUGGAUAACGAUUCAGAUCAUGGGUUUCCAUCACAUUUUUAAUUUCAGUGUUGCAGCAUGACUGUUUCACAGAUUUAUUUCGUUUUGUUUUUAAUUAUUAUUAUUUAGACUUUAAACACAUUCAAGUAAUAUAACAUGUAUAUAUUGAAAUCGUGUAAGUGUUUUUGACAUUUAUUUAUUUAUUUAAUUGUGUAUCAGCUUUCUUUAUGAAAUUCGGCCAUUUGGUCAACCAAGAAAAAAAAUAAUUGCUUUGGAAGAUACACUAGAAAAAGAACUUUGUUUAGACUCAAUGAUGGAUAAUAAACUUAUCCAUGAUAAUAAAGAUCACGGGGGGGGCGGUUUCUUUUUGUUUUUAAUAAAAGUCCUUAGUAAUAUAUAGUGAAAAAGCUUUUAUUUGAGAUGCAAAUUAUUUUUAAGUUCGUUGUUUUUGAUAUUAUUUCUAUAAAUUUCUCUUAUAAAAAUCAGCCUUUUUGGUCAACCAAAACUGCAAAAAAAAAAAAAAAAAAAAAAAAUGAUAGCAAGCGCAUGAACACAGUCUAAUGUUUCCCAUUAAUUUGAUUAGACUCCAAUUAUUAUUAUUAUUGCUAUAGCGAUUAUUAUACAAUGAAUACAAGACAAUGACACCUGUUUCUAGACGUGUUCACUCAUUUCAAUCUUCUUCUAUUGGCAGAGAAUUUUGCUUCUUUUUCGAAAUAAACACCUGAAAUAAGCCAAAUGAUCUGCCAGUAGAAUAAGACAAUCAGUUUGAAAUGAGUAAAAAAUAUCUCAAAUAUGCUUAAAUCUCUUACAUUUAACAAUCAAAUAAAGAAAAAGAAAAUAUUAGUUGAAUUGACCUUAUGUUACUAAGAUAUCAUGUAAAUAUGUGUCACAAAUCUGUGUGUGGUAAAAUCAGACAUGUAUCUAGUAAAAACAAAUCCAGACGGGGUGGAAUUGAACUAAAAGUUAAGGGCUUAAAUCACUUAUUUCGGUUAUUCCGAGACCAGUGAGUCUCCUUGACCGUAAACACUUCUGAGUGUCUCGCUCUGUCUCCUGCAGCCUUUACAAUAUGUUGCUAUUGCAGGAGAAGUGUGUGGUCUGUGUGUGUCUGUGUGUGUCUGUUG